CUCAACAGCCGAUAUCUGUAUCUCAACAACCGAUAUCUUCUUAUAGGAACUGUAUCUCAACAACCGGUAUCUUCUUAUAGGAACUGUAUCUCAAUAGCCAGUAUCUUCUUACAGGAACUGUAUCUCAAUAGCCGGUAUCUUCUUAUAGGAACUGUAUCUCAGUAGCCGGUAUUUUCUUAUAGGAACUGUAUCUAAACAGCCGGUAUCUUCUUAUAGGAACUGUAUCUCAACAGCCAGUAUCUUCUUAUAGGAACUGUAUCUCAACAGCCGAUAUCUUCUUAUAGGAUCUGUAUCUCAACAGCCGAUAUCUGUAUUUCAACAAGCGAUAUCUUCUUAUAGGAACUGUAUCUCAAUAGCCAGUAUCUUCUUACAGGAACUGUAUCUCAGUAGCCGGUAUCUUCUUAUAGGAACUGUAUCUCAACAGCCGGUAUCUUCUUAUAGGAACUGUAUCUCAACAGCCGAUAUCUUCUUAUAGGAACUGUAUCUCAACAGCCUGUAUCUUCUUAU
Pelobates cultripes (western spadefoot toad) is the source of this 507-nucleotide non-coding RNA. Lineage: Eukaryota; Metazoa; Chordata; Amphibia; Anura; Pelobatidae. The record is from the annotation of a GenBank genome assembly.